Molecule: small RNA, 686 nt
Filed under: Pongo abelii (Sumatran orangutan)
Lineage: Eukaryota; Metazoa; Chordata; Mammalia; Primates; Hominidae
Description: processed transcript
Source: RNAcentral
GCGGAGCUCGCCGCCUGAUCUAGGCUGGUCCCUGCUCCGAGCCUGUGACGUUUGCGGCAGCCCGGCCAUCGACGAUGCCCAGGAAAGACUACUAUUAUUCUAAGGUGUCUUGACAGAGAUGAGCCACCAAAACCAACCUUAGCUUUGGAAUAUACAUAUGGAAGAAGAGCAAAAGGGCACAACACACCAAAAGAUAUCGCUCACUUUUGGGAACUUGGUGGAGGAACCUCUUUAUUGGACUUAAUCAGCAUACCCAUCAUAAGUGACACCUUACGGACGUUUUCUCUUGUUCUCGUUCUGGAUCUUUCAAAACCUAAUGAUCUUUGGCCCACCAUGGAAAAUCUCUUGCAAGCCACAAAAAGCCAUGUAGACAAAGUGUUAAUGAAACUGGGAAAGACAAAUCCUAAAGCAGUUUCUGAAAUGAGACAGAAGAUCUGGAAUAAUAUGCAGAAGGAUCAUCCUGAUCGUGAAUUAAUUGACCCAUUUCCAGUACCUCUGGUCAUAAUUGGAAGUAAAUAUGAUAUUUUUCAGGAUUUUGAGUCUGAGAAGAGAAAGGUAAUAUGCAAGACACUUCGAUUUGUUGCACAUUAUUAUGGAGCAUCAUUAAUGUUUACCAGUAAAUCAGAAGCUCUAUUACUAAAAAUACGUGGAGUUAUCAACCAGUUGGCAUUUGGCAUUGACAAAAG